RNAcentral lists this small nuclear RNA (142 nucleotides) under Dasypus novemcinctus (nine-banded armadillo). Its description in RNAcentral is "U4 spliceosomal RNA (ENSDNOG00000028180.1)". It matches the Rfam family "U4 spliceosomal RNA". Rfam says of the family: U4 small nuclear RNA (U4 snRNA) is a component of the major U2-dependent spliceosome. The structure of U4 snRNA from yeast and human has been reported. The record is from RNAcentral. Lineage: Eukaryota; Metazoa; Chordata; Mammalia; Cingulata; Dasypodidae.
AGCUUUGCACAGUGGCAGUGCUGCAGCCAGUGAGGAUCCAUCCGAGGCACGGUUCUUGCCAAUUGAAAACCCCUCCCAACGCCCCACCAUGACGACCCGAAAUACAGUAGGCGUUGGCAAUUUUUAAAGGUCUCUGUGGAGA